RNAcentral lists this ribosomal RNA (484 nucleotides) under uncultured bacterium. Its description in RNAcentral is "partial 16S ribosomal RNA". It matches the Rfam family "Bacterial small subunit ribosomal RNA", at positions 30 to 507 of the family's 1533-position model. The record is from RNAcentral.
AUUGAACGCUGGCGGCAGGCCUAACACAUGCAAGUCGAGCGGAUGAAGGGAGCUUGCUCCUGGAUUCAGCGGCGGACGGGUGAGUAAUGCCUAGGAAUCUGCCUGGUAGUGGGGGAUAACGUCCGGAAACGGGCGCUAAUACCGCAUACGUCCUGAGGGAGAAAGUGGGGGAUCUUCGGACCUCACGCUCUCAGAUGAGCCUAGGUCGGAUUAGCUAGUUGGUGGGGUAAAGGCCUACCAAGCCGACGAUCCGUAACUGGUCUGAGAGGAUGAUCAGUCACACUGGAACUGAGACACGGUCCAGACUCCUACGGGAGGCAGCAGUGGGGAAUAUUGGACAAUGGGCGAAAGCCUGAUCCAGCCAUGCCGCGUGUGUGAAGAAGGUCUUCGGAUUGUAAAGCACUUUAAGUGGGGAGGAAGGGCAGUAAGUUAAUACCUUGCUGUUUUGACGUUACCAACAGAAUAAGCACCGGCUAACUUCGUG